GCCCCUGGCCACUGAGGCCUCCCCGUUCGCCUCCCAGAGGCCGCCACUUUCUUCAGGGCUAUCAGAUGAAGGCAGCAACGAAAACACCACCACAAGACCAACUUCAGGCUGGAGCUGAUGAUGCCACACAGCGAGAAAAAAGAAAAUAGACUCUACUUAGAAAUGAAACUCAACUAAAGGUAAAAGUUGUCAGGAACAUCUCCAAGAAAGCCAGAGUCAGCCUCUAAACUUUGCAUCAAGAACGCAAUGGCUUCCCUGAGGGCCCAGGGACGCGUGGCAGCUGUGAGGCAGCCCCUUCUCUGCUGUCGAGGAACUGGACACUUCUCCUGUCCCUUCCCACAAGAUAUAAAAGAUUCAGGACGUAGUGCUCGUGGUUGGGGUCGGGGACAUGGCAAGACAGGAGCGGAAGAGAGAGACGGAGAAGACGCAGGGGAACUGCAUCUGCCUCUGCUGCUCAGGAACAGCGUUGAGACCGGCGCAGGGACCAUGGGUGGGAGAGUCCUGAUGUACUCAAUGUAAAUACAAAUUGUGUUUCUUUUACAGUGAAAA
Homo sapiens (human) is the source of this 549-nucleotide long non-coding RNA. NCBI's taxonomy places the organism in Eukaryota, Metazoa, Chordata, Mammalia, Primates, Hominidae. The record is from Ensembl.